RNAcentral lists this non-coding RNA (30 nucleotides) under Mus musculus (house mouse). Lineage: Eukaryota; Metazoa; Chordata; Mammalia; Rodentia; Muridae. The record is from RNAcentral.
UNGUGCAAGGCGUGCUGAAAACAGAACCGU